This 342-nucleotide ribosomal RNA is filed under the name uncultured Bacillota bacterium. RNAcentral's name for it is "bacterial SSU rRNA". It matches the Rfam family "Bacterial small subunit ribosomal RNA", at positions 28 to 351 of the family's 1533-position model. Lineage: Bacteria; Bacillati; Bacillota. The record is from RNAcentral.
GAUGAACGCUGGCGGCGUGCCUAACACAUGCAAGUCGAGCGUGAUUGGUGGGAGUGGAGACUUCGGUCGAAGCGAACAUCAUGAAAGCGGCGGACGGGUGAGUAACGCGUGGGCAACCUGCCCCAUACAGGCGGAUAGCCACUGGAAACGGUGAUUAAUACGCCAUAAGACCACGACACCGCAUGGUGACGAGGUCAAAGAUUUAUCGGUAUGGGAUGGGCCCGCGUCUGAUUAGCUGGUUGGUGAGGUAACGGCUCACCAAGGCGACGAUCAGUAACCGACCUGAGAGGGCGGACGGUCACACUGGAACUGAGACACGGUCCAGACUCCUACGGGAGGCUG